UCCAAUAUCUUUCUGGAAAACGAUCACUUGGAUAACUCGCCUCAAGCCCUAUAGACCCCAGAGAACAGGAAAGUUUCAGGGCCUUGCAAAUGGCAGCUUCUUUCCCUUUUAUUCCAAGCAUAAAUACAGCUUGGGUUUGAAGAGCAAGCUGAGCUGGGAAUGCACAGUAACAGCUGAUACUAUUACGAAUACCUAAAAGUGAGGAAAUUCAAGGUUAUGAUUCCCACGGCCACAGUAACUCAGCCACAUCAUGCAAUCUGUUUGUAACGUGUACUACUGAACGUCGUGUUAACUUUUAUGGCCACUAUUACAUAUGCGUAAUACGAAAGGGUUACGGUGGGAGAGGGAGCCAUAAUUCUGAAUUUUCUGAUAUUUAUGACUUUCGAGCGAGUUUAAAAUGGCUACUCGUUCUCUUUUGGAAAAUAACAUACAUUUGAGUGACUUCUAAUUCAAACAUUUCCCAAUUGUUUCUAUUUAUUUCCUUCUUUAAAGUAAGCAACAAUAGAUACAUUUUAAGUAACUGAUCAUCUUUCUCAUCUUUAUCCUACUAAAAAAAAAAACCCUAUAAAAUCAAACCAUAGACUGUCCAGAAAUCUGAAAAGGUUCAUUUACAUAAUAAAUUCCCAUACAUAAGAAGUCAUAUACAAAUGAUAUUUGAAAAAUGGAUAAAAAUUAGAAUAAGCAGUUUGAAAGUAAACAUAAACAGUAAUAAUUUCUUAUCUAAAUAAUUUUAAUCAAAUGAAUAAUAUAUUCAUCUGAUAAUACCCUCUAUCUUUCACAAUAUAAAAGAAAAGUGCUCAGAAUACAUUAAAAAAAAUAAGACGAAAGUCUCACA
This 835-nucleotide long non-coding RNA is filed under the name Capra hircus (goat). Its description in RNAcentral is "lncRNA (ENSCHIG00010013798.1)". The record is from RNAcentral. Lineage: Eukaryota; Metazoa; Chordata; Mammalia; Artiodactyla; Bovidae.